This is a long non-coding RNA of Panicum virgatum (switchgrass), 7150 nucleotides long. RefSeq lists it as uncharacterized. The record is from RefSeq and is a predicted model, not a curated record. The transcript has 5 exons. Lineage: Eukaryota; Viridiplantae; Streptophyta; Magnoliopsida; Poales; Poaceae.
CGCUAAUCUUGCCCACACGCCCCUGGCCCCCCUUCUCCCGUGCGCCAGCUCUCAAGCAUGCCCACACGCCUACACGCCGCCGCCACCGCAGCCCGCGCCCCCCGCACGCCGCCGCCGCCGCCUCCCCCGCGACAUUCGUCGUCGCCUCCCCCGGGACCUCACCAUCGCCGUCACCGUCGCUGUCGCGUUCGUCUGCGCGGGCUCUAGGGACAUCUGUUGUCGCCUCCCCCCGGGACCUCACCAUCACCGUCGCCGUCGCCGUCGCCGUCGCGUUCGUCCGCGCGGUCUCCGGGCGGACGCCGCACGCUGCGUCCAGGCCACCGCCGCCGCCUCCCCCGCGACAUCCGUCGCCCCCCGGGCCCUCGCCAUCACCGUCGUCGUCGCAUUCAUCGCCGCCUCCACGCCGACGCCCCGCUGUCGACAAAACCAAUCGCGCGAUCUUUCCGUUGUGGUAGAGGUGGCUGCAUUGGCGGUGGGGGGCUCGGCUUCUCGUCCUCGAUCUACAUCGGCGGUGGGGAGCUCGGCUUCUCGUCCUCGAUCUGCUGGUGAUGGCACUUUUACGUCAUCACCAAUUCGCCAUCUUAUAACGACACGAGCUGCAAGUAACCACGGGGUAUCCUUCGUGGCUCUGCAGCUUCACGUUGCAAUACAGUAGAUUGGUGGUGGAAGAGUAGAGGCUUAAUGUCGUAUCCCUAGGCCGCGGCGGUCGCCGGCGACGUGAACACGAGGAAAAUCGGUAGAGUAGAGCAGGGAUACUUGGGGAAGGGGAAGGACCCUGACCCCCGGUCUUGUCUUCUCUUAAUUCUCAGCAAAUACAAAAUCUGUUUGACUUGUACACGGCAUGGGUAGAUAUACCCAGAGGCCAGACACUGGCCGGUGGCCUGCCACACACCCAUGUUUACAACUCACGCUUUGCUUAGCUGGAUGGUUCACGCAUCUCUUCCACCGUGUCCGCCGCAUCGCGCGUGACACUUCCCCCCGCUAGAGGUGCUGCUUGUCCACAAGCAGGAGAUGCCGGAAAUUGUUGACGGAGCACAUGAAAAUCUUCCCAAGUUGCUGAAUCGACAGGCAGAUGAGAUCAGUUGACACGCACCUAAGGAAUUGCAGCAUUUCCCUUCUUGACCAAGCGACGUUCAAGAAUCUUCUCUGGUUGGAGUGUGACCGUGUCGAGGUGGACAAUCUUGGUAACAUCUGAGUAAACUAGAGAAUAGUUAGCAGUAAAUGGUUUCAACUGGGAGACAUGAAAGACAUCAUGGAUUUUUGAAUCCACAGGUAAUGCUAAACGAUAAGCCACGGUGCCGAUCUUCUCAGUAACAGCAUAGGGUCCAAAGUAUUUGAAGGCCAGCUUAGGGAACGGACGAUUAGCCACUGACGUCUGAGCAUAGGGCUGGAGUUUCAGCAGCACUUGCUCACCGACUUGAUACUGACGUUCAACUCGGUUUCUGUCAGCAUAAGUCUUCAUGCGGUGUUGAGCCUUGGCCAAAUGUUCCUUCAACAUGAGUAGAUGGUCUGCACGAUUUGUGAUCAACUCAGCAACUUGAGGAGAAGCGUCUGAAGCUUCAGGUGGGACAGUAGGCAUAGCCGGUUCAUGACCGUAGAGUGCCUUGAAUGGUGAAUAACCAAUAGCAGAGUGAUAUGAGGAGUUAUACCAUAGUUCUGCUAAAGGUAGCCAAGUUUUCCAUUGCUUAGGUUGAUCAUACACUGCGCAGCGUAGAAACAUUUCGAGGCACUGAUUCACCCGCUCCGUUUGCCCGUCAGUUUGUGGGGGAUAAGCUGUACUCAUCAACAACUGAGUCCCAUGCAACUUGAACAGUUCCCGCCAGAAUGAACUCAAGAAGAUCUUAUCACGAUCACUGACAAUGGUAGUAGGAAACCCAUGUAAUCGGAUGACUUGAUCGAGCAGCAACUUGGCAACAGACUGGGUAGUAUAGGGAUGUUUGAGCGGCAAGAAGUGAGCAUACUUGGUCAGUCGAUCUACCACCACUAAGAUGGCUGAAUAACCUUCCACAACAGGUAGGCCUUCCACGAAGUCCAUAGACCAAUCCUGCCAAGCACCACCAGGUAUUGGAAGUGGUUGGAGUAAACCUGCUGGGUGCUCAUUUGUGUGCUUAGCAUGUUGGCAUAUCUCACAUUGUUGAACAAAGAUCUCCACAGCCUAUUUCAGCCCUUUCCAGUAGAAGAGACCCUUAACUCGAUGAUAUGUGGCAGUAAUCCCAGAAUGUCCUCCAAUAGGGCUAGCAUGAAAAGCUGCAAUGAUCUUGGUUUGCAGGGCAGAAUUAUUCCCAAUCCACAAUUUACCUUUGAAUCGAAUCAGGCCAUUAUGCAAUGAGUAUCCCAAGGAAUCAGGACUGUGAAUAGCAAGCUGGGUGAGUAGUUGUUGAGCCAUGGAGUCUGUUCUGUAUGAAUUGGAGACUUCCUGGAGCCAUACUGGUUGAGCCAUUGAUACAGCCUGAAGUGCCAUGAGGUGACCUACACGAGAAAGAGCAUCAGCCACUACAUUAUCCUUGCCCUGUCGAUACACCACUUUGAACUGAAGUCCCAUCAACCGAGUCAUAGCUUUACGCUACAUGUCAGAAUGGAGAUUCUGCUCAGUAAGAUAGGCUAAACUUUUGUGAUCAGUCCGGAUGAGAAACUCUUGUAGCUGCAAGUAUGGACGCCAACGUUCCACAGCCAUGAUUAGAGCCAAAAACUCUUUCUCAUAAAUGGACAAGUGUUUGUGGGCAGGCCCUAAAGCUUUACUGAGGAAAGCUAAAGGCUGGCCAUGCUGGAUGAGAACAGCUCCAAUACCAUCAUCACAAGCAUCGGUUUCAACAAUGAAAGGAGUGGUGAAAUCAGGCAAACCCAGCACUGGAGUAGUUACCAUGGCCUCCUUGAGUUUGACAAAAGCUUGCUGUGCUGCAGAAGUCCACAAAAAUUGUUUGCACUUCAGCAAAUUGGUAAGUGCCUUUGCUAGCAGACCAUAAUGCUUGACAAAACGUCUGUAGUAACCUGUCAAGCCUAAAAAUCCCCUGAGCUCUGUAAAAUUGGUUGGUGUUGGCCAGUUGUACAUAGUACUGGUUUUGGAAGGAUCUGUAGCCACCCCAUCAGCAGAAAUAAUGUAGCCCAAAUAUUUUAGUUUAUGCUGAGCAAAGGAGCAUUUGUUAGCUUUCAGGUAUAACUGAUUGUCCUUUAAUUUGUCAAAGACUUGAGUCAGAUGAUCCAGAUGAGACUCCAAUGAAGGGCUAUAAAUGAGAAUGUCAUCCAAGAAAACUAAAACAAACUUUCUCAGAAAAGGACCCAGAAUAUCAUUCAUGAGGCACUGAAAAGUAGCUAGAGCAUUAGUGAGACCAAAAGGCAUCACUCUAAACUGAUAAUGGCCAUGAUGGGUUUUAAAAGCUGUUUUAUAUUCAUCACUGGGCACCAUCCUAAUCUGAUGAUAACCUGCCCUCAUAUCCAACUUUAUAAAAUACUUGGCACCAAAUAGUUCCUCCAAGAUUUCCUCUAUGACAGGCAUAUGAAAUCUGUUCUUGAUAGUGAGAUCAUUGAGUCUUCGAUAAUCCACACAAAAUCUCCAGCUGCCAUCCUUCUUUUGUACCAAAAGCACAGGAGAGGCAAAAGGGCUAGAACUGUGAGUGAUCAGACCAGCUGCCAAUAACUCCUUCACUUGCUUCUCAAUUUCAGACUUGUGUGUGGGAGAGUACUUGUAAGGCCUAGCAUUGACAGGAACAGCCUCAGGAAGUAAUGGAAUGGCAUGAUCAUGAACUCUGGAAGGAGGAAGAGUAGUGGGAACAUGAAACAAAUCUGAAUAGGUGGUCAUUAAUGACUGUACAGCAGGAGAAAUCUCUGUAGGUGUGACAGAGUCUGAUGCUUCCACCAUGGCAAAAGCCCAAACAUCAUUGCCCUUGCAGCAUUUGACCAAUUUGUCUGCAGACAAUGGAGACAGUUGUAAAGGUGGGGACUGCAUUCCCUGAAUAGUAACUAGUGUAUAUCCCUGCCGAAACUUAAUUUGCUUGUUAGUCCAAUCACAGGUCAUUGGGCUGUGCAAUUUAAGCCAAUCAUAUCCCAGUAUGCCAUCAUACACAUCCAAAUCUAGGACUCUCAUAUCAGUAGAAAUUGUGUGGCCCUGGCACCACCAAGACAAGGAAGGAACCAGUCGAUCUGAGAUAAGAACCUCCCCAUUGGGCAAUCUGACUUGUUGUGGAUUGGUGGGAAUAGUGGAUAGCCCAGCUUUGUGCACAAAUGCAGAGCUGACAAAGCUGUUGGAACUACCACUAUCCAGCAACAAGAGAAACACUUUGUUCUGAACUCGUCCAUGAAUUUGUAUGCAUUCAGAACCGACUGCAGAAGAAAGAGCAUUCAGUGAUAACUAACCGAAUUCCUGCUGCAAAGAAUCUUCAACAGCUAGUUGGUGCAAUAUUUCAUCAGUUAAUUAAACAUCCAGAUUAUUCACCACCAAAGCAUUGAGCUGAGGCUUGGGUCGUUUGGGACAUUUGUUUGCAUGGCCUGGUUCAAACUUUUCAGCACAAUAGAAACAUAGUCCAUGUGCCUUUCUAUAGUCCCUUUCUGUUUUUCUUUCCACAAAGCAGAGGUCUGCAAGUGUUGUUUGCCAUCAGACUUCCCGCCAAAAUUCUGAGGUUUGCCCUGAUACACUGAUCUCUGUGCUUUAUAUUUGCCUCCGUCAAUCAUUUUCUGUUGGAUCUUAGCCAGUAGAAUGGCCUUGUUAACUUUAUCAGGCAGCUGAAGCUACACAGCAGAUUGAAUAUCCUCUCUCAACCCUUUGAUGAAUUGAGCCACAAAAAACAAUUCACCUUAACCAGAAUUAUGCAUAGAGACUUGGAACUGCAAAGACUCAAACUCAGUAACAUAUUCUUCCACCGUGCCACAUUGUUUUAGCAUCAACAACUCAUCUAGGGCUUCUCUAUAAUCAUCUGAACCGAACUGAUCUUCGACUGCCUGUACAAACUGUAACCAAGUACCAACCCCCCCAUGUUGUAGCUUGUACAUUUGAAACCACUGGGCCGCAUUAUCAUCCAGAUGUAACGAAGCAGUCGUGACCCACAUAUACUCAGGAACAUUGCAAAUAUGAAAAUAAUCCAUGCACUUAUCACGCCAGAUUUUAGGAUGACGGCCAUCAAAACGCGGAAACCAGAGCUUAGGGAUGUAAUUACGAUUUCCCCCCCGACUGAUCAUGAUUCGAACGGCCAAAAUGAAACUGGGUGCGCUGGUGAUUGUUCUCACCUGAAGGAUCCUGCUGCGGAGAAGGAGGUUGCCUCGCCGAAUCGGAACCCACGAAAUCUGAAGUCAACUUAGCAACAUCUUGGCUUGCAGCGUCCACCUUGUGCAUGAGAACCUCUUGUGCUUGUGCAUACCCCUGCAACACUUCGGUGUGAUGACCCAAUUGAACACGAAUCUGCUGCUGGUCACGGCCGAUGUCGGUGACGCGCGCGAAGAGAAGAUCCAAUCUCUCCAUAACCUGAUCCCAGUGAGUGUCCUCAGCCUGGAUGUGCUCCUCCAUCCGGCCGAGGAUGAUUUGGGUCUGCACGGAGGGCUUAGGGGGAGCCGUGGUGACCGCACCGGAAACAAAGCUACCACAACUCGAAUUGAGGCACCUCAACGAGGCUCGAGCAGGGUUGCUAAGCCGCCGGAGUACAGUAAUCACGCCACGGAACCCACGCACAACACCGAAUCGUUCGAUGUUGCGCCCGUGAUGCAGACCACACAGUCCCGUCGCCUCGGUAGAUCGAUUCCACUACAGACCUAAGCGGCACAGAAAUUUGGGUGGUCGACGGCGCCGGAACGGCUAACCGGCGAUUUGUGGUGGCCGCUAGCGACGGUCAUCGGAGAGUGGGGCGGAGGACGCCGGAAUCGCGUGAUUCAUGGCGGAGCAGGUCGAGCGCCGAGGGAAUGGGCUGACCAGAACAGAAUCGAUCGGUGGGGUGGUAGCGGCGGCGAGGAAUCGCCCGAAUCUGAUACCAACUGUCGUAUCCCUAGGCCGCGGCGGUCGCCGGUGACGUGAACACGAGGAAAAUCGGUAGAGCAGAGCAGGGGAUACUUGGGGAAGGGGAAGGACCCUGACCCGCGGUCUCAUCUUCUCUUAAUUCUCAGCGAAUACAAAAUCUGUUUGACUUGUACACGGCAUGGGUAGAUAUACCCAGAGGCCAGACACUGGCCGGUGGCCCGCCACACACCCAUGUUUACAACUCACGCUUUGCUUAGCUGGAUGGUUCACGCAUCUCUUCCACCGUGUCCGCCGCAUCGCGCGUGACACUUAAUCUAACUAAACUGCGUUGUUGAACCUUUUUGCUCAGGCUAGUAGAGAGGGCACAUUGCACUUGUGUUGAGUAAGUAGAAGCUAUUUUCGCACCAUAAAUUCUGAUGACCACAAAUGAAUUCUGAAUUCUUGUGGUUCUUCUAUCCCGCUGUUAUCUUCACCGAGCGGUGCGUCUCUGUACUCUUCAUAUGGUGGAUAUCAGGGUACAAGCAAAAAGAUUGAAAUAUGAAAUGGAAGGGAGGUUGUUAUUAUCAGAAAAGCUGGGGAAACUAUCAGGUAUCUCCAACUUCAGUCAGGAGCAAAGAUUCAAGUAACAAGAGACAAUGAAGCUGAACCAGGUGCACAGACAAGACCAGUUGAACUUUCAGGCACUCAUGAGCAGAUAAGCAAAGCUGAGCAGCUGAUCAAAGAAGUUCUGGCAGAGAAAUAUUAUGCACCACAGCCAGGUGCCGACACGUUCUAGAUGAAAAUUGUUAAUAACAAGGUGGGUCUGGUUAUUGGUAAGGCUGGUGAGACUAUAAAGUCCAUGCAACCCAAGUCUGGAGCUCGUAUUCAGAUUUGUUAUCUUGUUCUACAGCAUAUUGGCAGCUGGUGAUUGAGGUUACCAAUGUCUGAAGCAUAUUGGCCGUGGGUAUAGCCUCGGCAUGGCUAUGGCAUGGAAGGAGAUUUUCAUAUGCCUUUCCUGUUUCUGAACAUAACUUCAUAAUAGGUUUUGGGCAGGUUUAAGACUUAAAUAUACCAUAACAUGAAUAAACGUAUUUCCAAACUGCUUCAUUCUUCAUAUCUUAGCAACUUUGUUCAGCCCAUUGUAUGGCUCUUCACAGAACAGCAGUUCAAGCUUUGAGAAGUCAUUCUUUGUAAUUCAUAUCGUUCAUUUCACAUGAGGCGAUGUUCUUGUUU